Molecule: transfer RNA, 72 nt
Filed under: Dehalococcoidia bacterium
Lineage: Bacteria; Bacillati; Chloroflexota; Dehalococcoidia
Description: tRNA-Arg
Rfam family: tRNA
About the family: Transfer RNA (tRNA) molecules are approximately 80 nucleotides in length.
Source: RNAcentral
GCCCCUGUAGCUCAGAGGAUAGAGCACCAGCCUCCGGAGCUGGGGGCGGGGGUUCGAGUCCCCCCAGGGGCG